AUGCACCCGGUUUGUGCACCGUCCACACCCACCUGCCAGCCGCUCGCUCCGUUUUGGCAGCC
RNAcentral lists this small RNA (62 nucleotides) under Xanthomonas vesicatoria. RNAcentral's name for it is "sX9". It matches the Rfam family "Xanthomonas sRNA sX9". RNAcentral also lists the same sequence under 1 other name. Lineage: Bacteria; Pseudomonadati; Pseudomonadota; Gammaproteobacteria; Lysobacterales; Lysobacteraceae. The record is from RNAcentral.